AUACGGAGGGUGCAAGCGUUACUCGGAAUCACUGGGCGUAAAGCGCGCGCAGGCGGCUUGAUAAGGUGGAUGUGAAAGCCUACGGCUCAACCGUAGAACUGCAUCCAAAACUGUCAGGCUAGAGUGUGGGAGAGGAAGAUGGAAUUAGUUGUGUAGGGGUAAAAUCCGUAGAGAUAACUAGGAAUACCAAAAGCGAAGGCAAUCUUCUGGAACACUUCUGACGCUGAGGCGCGAAGGCGUGGGGAGCAAACAGGAUUAGAAACCCCAGUAGUCC
Molecule: ribosomal RNA, 274 nt
Filed under: uncultured bacterium
Lineage: Bacteria
Description: partial 16S ribosomal RNA
Rfam family: Bacterial small subunit ribosomal RNA
Source: RNAcentral